RNAcentral lists this long non-coding RNA (209 nucleotides) under Ananas comosus (pineapple). Its description in RNAcentral is "long non-coding RNA (ACOM_LNC035634)". Lineage: Eukaryota; Viridiplantae; Streptophyta; Magnoliopsida; Poales; Bromeliaceae. The record is from RNAcentral.
AAAUGGAUUUGAGUUUCAAUGCUUUUAAAAGCACAGAAGCUCAAUAUGCUUGUGAUUCUUUAAUCAUCGAAUUGUCUCAAAAUUCAUGCAGCACUAAUAAAAAAGACUUAAUGAAACAUAAUGUUAAUAGUACUGUAUAGAUAUUAAAGCCAUCCGACGGGUAAAAAGUCACAAAUGCAAAUGCUCCUGUGCUCUCAACCCAUAAAAAU